This 503-nucleotide ribosomal RNA is filed under the name uncultured bacterium. RNAcentral's name for it is "partial 16S ribosomal RNA". It matches the Rfam family "Bacterial small subunit ribosomal RNA", at positions 30 to 523 of the family's 1533-position model. The record is from RNAcentral.
AUUGAACGCUGGCGGCAGGCUUAACACAUGCAAGUCGAGCGGGGUGAUGGUGCUUGCACUAUCACUUAGCGGCGGACGGGUGAGUAAUGCUUAGGAAUCUGCCUAUUAGUGGGGGACAACAUCUCGAAAGGGAUGCUAAUACCGCAUACGUCCUACGGGAGAAAGCAGGGGAUCACUUGUGACCUUGCGCUAAUAGAUGAGCCUAAGUCGGAUUAGCUAGUUGGUGGGGUAAAGGCCUACCAAGGCGACGAUCUGUAGCGGGUCUGAGAGGAUGAUCCGCCACACUGGGACUGGGACACGGCCCAGACUCCUACGGGAGGCAGCAGUGGGGAAUAUUGGUCAAUGGGGGGAACCCUGAUCCAGCCAUGCCGCGUGUGUGAAGAAGGCCUUAUGGUUGUAAAGCACUUUAAGCGAGGAGGAGGCUCUUUUGGUUAAUACCCAAGAUGAGUGGACGUUACUCGCAGAAUAAGCACCGGCUAACUCUGUGCCAGCCGCCGCCGCGG